Molecule: long non-coding RNA, 513 nt
Filed under: Mustela putorius furo (domestic ferret)
Lineage: Eukaryota; Metazoa; Chordata; Mammalia; Carnivora; Mustelidae
Description: lncRNA (ENSMPUG00000025029.1)
Source: RNAcentral
CAGGAUGGCAGAGAGUUAGGGAGACGACCAGCUGGGCCGUCUGCUUUAGUCACCUUGCAGUGGAGAAGACUUUGGUCUGCCUGGACCAACAUCAGGAGGAUUUUUCCCGGGAACAAGAACGCAUCUUGGUUUUCUGCCUUCUCUACCAUCAGUUCUCACCCAGCAGACCAGCUAUUUCUGGAAAGGCCACUCACUGGUUGAGAGUGAUAUCAGAGGGCUGUGGUAGACAGCUGACUUCACAAGCAGAGAUCCUGGCCGCACGUCUUACUGACUGGCUGUCCCUGGGUGGGUUAUUUAACUGCACUCCUUCGGGGAACAUGGAUUCGCAUAAGGACCAGUGAGAUGCAUAAGGCAGGGCCUCCAGCAAGGGCCUGGUGCUGAACGGGUUGUCAGCAAAGGUGACCCUGUCCUGCCCCUUGCAACCUCCCAUUGCCCACCCACACGCUGAUGUUAGUAAAUCAGACAUCCAACUGUUAGUAAAUCUUACACCCAACUUCAGAUGGUACAUAGGUC